This 133-nucleotide small RNA is filed under the name Salmonella enterica subsp. enterica serovar Hillingdon. RNAcentral describes it as "RtT RNA". It matches the Rfam family "RtT RNA". Rfam says of the family: This family represents a bacterial cis-regulatory element known as RtT RNA. Lineage: Bacteria; Pseudomonadati; Pseudomonadota; Gammaproteobacteria; Enterobacterales; Enterobacteriaceae. The record is from RNAcentral.
UAUCUCUCCGUACGGGGAAGGAUGAGAAGCUUCGACUAAGGUUCGAUUCGAGCGAAAGCGAGAAAGCGUUGCCGCAGGCAACGACCCGAAGGGCGAAGCGCGCAGCGCUGAGUCAUCCCUUCCCCCACCACCA